GUGCCAGCAGCCGCGGUAAUACGUAGGGGGCGAGCGUUGCCCGGAAUCACUGGGCGUAAAGGGGGUGUAGGCGGUUAUCUAAGUCAGAUGUAAAAGACCUUGGCUCAACCAAGGGAUUGCGUCUGAAACUGGAUAACUUGAGGUUACUAGAGGGAGACGGAAUUACCUGUGUAGCGGUGAAAUGCGUAGAUACAGGUAAGAAGGCCGGUGGUGAAGACGGUCUCCUGGGGUAAACCUGACGCUGAGGCCCGAAAGCUAGGGGAGCAAACCGGAUUAGAUACCCGGGUAGUCCUAGCCGUAAACGAUGCCCACUAGGUGUGAGCGGUAGUACCGUUCGUGCUGAAGCUAAGGCGAUAAGUGGGCCGCCUGGGGAGUACGUCCGCAAGGAUGAAACUUAAAUGAAUUGACGGGG
This 412-nucleotide ribosomal RNA is filed under the name uncultured prokaryote. RNAcentral's name for it is "bacterial SSU rRNA". It matches the Rfam family "Bacterial small subunit ribosomal RNA", at positions 505 to 918 of the family's 1533-position model. The record is from RNAcentral.